This 262-nucleotide ribosomal RNA is filed under the name uncultured bacterium. Its description in RNAcentral is "partial 16S ribosomal RNA". It matches the Rfam family "Bacterial small subunit ribosomal RNA", at positions 547 to 796 of the family's 1533-position model. The record is from RNAcentral.
AGGCAGCAGUUAGGAAUUACUGGGCGUAAAGCGCACGUAGGCGGAUCGAUCAGUUAGGGGUGAAAUCCCAGGGCUCAACCCUGGAACUGCCUCUAAUACUGUCGAUCUCGAGUUCGAGAGAGGUGAGUGGAAUUCCGAGUGUAGAGGUGAAAUUCGUAGAUAUUCGGAGGAACACCAGUGGCGAAGGCGGCUCACUGGCUCGAUACUGACGCUGAGGUGCGAAAGCGUGGGGAGCAAACAGGAUUAGAUACCCUAGUAGUCC